GUGCUCACUUUGGCAGCACGUAUACUAAAAUUGGAACAAUACAGAGAAUUUGAUGACAUUGGAUGACAUUGGAUGACAUGCAAAUUCAUGAAGUGUUCCAUAUUUUU
Molecule: small nuclear RNA, 107 nt
Organism: Suncus etruscus (white-toothed pygmy shrew)
Lineage: Eukaryota; Metazoa; Chordata; Mammalia; Eulipotyphla; Soricidae
Source: RefSeq, a predicted model, not a curated record